AUACUUCAGCAAUACAUAUGCUAACAUUGGAAUGAUAGAGAGAAAAUAAGCAUUGCCCCUGCACAAGGAUGACACACAAAUUCCUGAGGAAAAAAAAAAGAAU
This is a small nuclear RNA of Antechinus flavipes (yellow-footed antechinus), 103 nucleotides long. The record is from RefSeq and is a predicted model, not a curated record. Lineage: Eukaryota; Metazoa; Chordata; Mammalia; Dasyuromorphia; Dasyuridae.